AAAAGUUGUGAUGGAAUACUAUUGUGCUAUAGAAGUGAUGAGCUGAAUGAUUUCAGAAAAAUUUGGAAAGACCAACGUGAACUGAUGCAGAGUGAAGUGAGCAGAAGAACAUGAACUUUCCACCUCUAGUUAUGCAGCCAUUAUUGAAGACUGAAAUUGCUGUGGAAAAGGGAUUCACCUUCCUUACCACCACCACCAACUGACCAUCUGCCACUGACUGGUAGGUAAACCCAAGAACCUUGGGAAGGACAGUACCUCCCAGACCA
This 266-nucleotide long non-coding RNA is filed under the name Monodelphis domestica (gray short-tailed opossum). RNAcentral's name for it is "lncRNA (ENSMODG00000039215.1)". The record is from RNAcentral. Lineage: Eukaryota; Metazoa; Chordata; Mammalia; Didelphimorphia; Didelphidae.